GGGCGCUUGGCUCAGUGGUUAGAGCACCGCCUUCACACGGCGGGGGUCAGUGGUUCGAAUCCACUAGCGCCCACCA
Molecule: transfer RNA, 76 nt
Filed under: Vicinamibacterales bacterium
Lineage: Bacteria; Pseudomonadati; Acidobacteriota; Vicinamibacteria; Vicinamibacterales
Description: tRNA-Val
Rfam family: tRNA
About the family: Transfer RNA (tRNA) molecules are approximately 80 nucleotides in length. Their secondary structure includes four short double-helical elements and three loops (D, anti-codon, and T loops).
Source: RNAcentral